CUCAGGAUGAACGCUAGCGGGCAGGCUUAACACAGUGCAAGUCGAGGGGCGAGUCGGAGGGAAGCUUGCUUCCUUGCGGCGACCGGCGCACGGUGAGUAACACGUAUGCAACCUGCCCUCUUCAGGGGGACAACCUUCCGAAAGGGAGGCUAAUCCCGCGUAUAUCGUUUCGGGCAUCCGAGAUCGAGGAAAGAUUCAUCGGAAGAGGAUGGGCAUGCGGCGCAUUAGCUUGACGGCGGGGUAACGGCCCACCGUGGCGACGAUGCGUAGGGGUUCUGAGAGGAAGGUCCCCCACACUGGUACUGAGACACGGACCAGACUCCUACGGGAGGCAGCAGUGAGGAAUAUUGGUCAAUGGGAGAGAUCCUGAACCAGCCAAGCCGCGUGAGGGAAGACGGCCCUAUGGGUUGUAAACCUCUUUUGUCGGAGAACAAAAACCCGGGACGUGUCCCGGACUGCGUGUAUCCGAAGAAAGAGCAUCGGCUAACUCCGUG
Molecule: ribosomal RNA, 494 nt
Filed under: uncultured Bacteroidota bacterium
Lineage: Bacteria; Pseudomonadati; Bacteroidota
Description: bacterial SSU rRNA
Rfam family: Bacterial small subunit ribosomal RNA
Source: RNAcentral